RNAcentral lists this ribosomal RNA (317 nucleotides) under uncultured bacterium. RNAcentral describes it as "bacterial SSU rRNA". It matches the Rfam family "Bacterial small subunit ribosomal RNA", at positions 29 to 323 of the family's 1533-position model. The record is from RNAcentral.
AGUGAACGCUGGCGGCGUGCUUAACACAUGCAAGUCGAACGCGAAAGGGGGAGCAAUCCCCGAGUAGAGUGGCGAACGGGUGAGUAAUGUGUGGGUAAUUUGCCUUUCAGCGGGGGAUAACCCGGGGAAACCUGAGCUAAUACCCCAUAACAUGACCUGGUCUUCGGAUCGAGUCAUCAAAACGAUGGCCUCUGCUUGCAAGCUAUUGCUGGAAAGAUGAGCCCCACANCCUAUCACGCUUGUUGGUGGGGUAAUGGCCUACCAAGGCGACGACGGGUAGCCGGCCUGAGAGGGCGUACGGCCACACUGGAACUGAG